UAGAAUGCAUUUGCUGGUUUCCUGUGUGGGCUUUAACCCUCUGGGUUUUCCUUCAGCUUUGGAGGUUCUGAUAUUAUUUCUGGAAGGGAACUGAGUGACAGCUGUGAAGGCACCUUUGGAGGAGGCAGACUGGGGGGCAGAGCUGCCCAGAAACACCACCAUAGGUUCGUGCGUGCACGCUCCCGGCAGGAGAAGGCCAGCCGGCCCCGGCUCACUAUCCUGAAUAUAACUGGGGUGUGGGUGUGUGGGCAUGAUGUCCUCUGCAAUCUGACCAUGACUUCCUGCAGGUAUGCAACACGGGACAAGAUGGUGGAGUGCCAGCCGGAAACGCAUAACCACAAGAUGGUGACCUUCAAGUUUGACUUGGAUGGGGACGCUCCUGAUGAGAUCGCCACAUACAUGGAAAAGGCAAAACCUGAGAUGACCUGGAGGAGCAAAGGGAAGCUGCAUCACCAGCCUCUCGUGCCCUGUGUCCCUGCGUAGAACUUCUGUCACCCUCCUCGACUUCCAGAAGGGCCAUUUGAAGCCCACGCUCCAACCAUCAACCUCAGCUCUGCCUCCACCUGGAGCCACCCUUACCUGCUGGAGCAGAGCUCACUGUGGGCACCUGCUCACUCAUGGGUUUUUCUGUGUCCCAGUGUCCUCAGGGAAGUCUGUCUCCUCUGUGCCGGACAGCUUUAGUGUCAACUGGACACGCCUCGGUUGAGGGAGCCUCAAUUGGGGAAUUGCCUCCAUUGGACUGCCCUAUGGCCACUUCUGUGGGGAACCUUCUUGAUGGUUGAGUGAUGUGGGAGGGCCCAGCCCACUGUGGGUGGUGCCAUCUCUGGGCAUGUGGGCCCAUGUUGUAUAAGAAAGCAGGCUGAGCAGGGGCCAGGGGAGCAAGCCAGUAAGCGUGCUGGGAGACUGGUCCUCUUAAGGAUGUGCACGUCUCAAAUUUCAAAUCCCCAAAUCGGUUCCGUCAGCAUUUUGAACAUGGAGGAAAUAAGAGGCAGAAGCACAUCUGGUGGCCCCGCCUACUGGGGUUCCUGUGGGACUCCAACUUCCUUUUACUGUAGCCGCUUACCUUGGGGUCAUGCUGCGUUCCCUUGGGGUGAGGAGGCAACAGCAAAAUGUUCUAAAGACCUGAAGGAAACAAGGAAACGCCUCCUCACCCCCUUCCACACUCUUCUCCGUCUAGAUGUGGAGACUAUGGUGGCGGGGGAGGGGGGGUGCUGGGCCCUGCUGUUUUCAUCAGGUGAUGGCUCCUCAAGGACCAGGGCCCUGCUGUUUUUGUCACGUGAUGGCUCCUCAAGGACCAGGGCCCUGCUGUUUUUGUCUAUACAGGGCCUCACAAGCUUCCCUAUCCGGGAAUAAGUAGCACCACAGCUUACUUUGACUAUAGUAUAGAUUUCCUUGGCAUCAUUACAUGUUGUGGAUUUUAUGGAUAGCACAAGUUCCUCAAUGGUAAACCCCACAGAGCACUUGGUUUCCACAAUGUUGGUUACUGGGAUCCUAGGGACAUUUUCUCUGGAGCCUGGUGGUAUACUUCCACAACGAUCCCAAGGCCAGGGGUGCCCCAGCAGCUGGCCUAUAUCUAUCCUAUAGCCAUGAUCCCCAGCAAGCAACAUUGCAAUGAAAUGUUCAAUUUUGUUGACACAUUUGGUGGAGAUGGGUACAUGGAGGCUAAGAUUGCCCAGUGGAGAUCUGCAGGUGUGAGUGCACGAUGUGGCAUGCACCCAGUGACCACAGAGUAAACAACGAAGCCUAGGCGCCACAGAUCCUUUGGCAUUCCUUCAUAGGCCCUGCCCUCUAACAUUUCAGGAGCUAAAUAAGGCAUUGAGCGACAGGCCUCUUCCCACAUCUGCCCUGGUGUCACUCUUGUUGCUAAUCAAGAGUCACACCGUUUGGUUUUUCCCAUCAGAGUCACUAGGAUGUUGUCACGCUUUAUACUUAGGUGGACAAUGUGUCUUUUGUGGAGGUGCUGCAUGACUAAUGCCACCCGAGGGACAAAGGGGAGAGCCCUCUGCCCCUCCAUGGGGCCAAAAUCCUGUAGGAUGCUCACAAUGUCCCAGCCUUGGACAAAUUCCAUAACCAUGUAGGUCUUUGUUGAUGUGACAAAAGUAUGAAAACGCUUCACGAUGUUUUGAUGCUGUGCGGCUUCCGUGAUUUCCAACUCAGUUUUGAUGCAGCGGUCCACGAUUACGCACUUUUUCAUGAUAACGGGUAUUGGUUCGGAGAUGACGUGCCAACUUUACUUCCCCAAAUGCACCACAGACCGAGUUAAUUAAGACCUUGGGUUUAUCUCCAAGGAGUUGUAUGCCAGAGAGGGUGGACUUGACCUCCACCUUCGUGUCCCUCACCUUCCAUGGUUUUGGAUUCCACCAAGAGACAACGCUAGAUGAAAAGAAAAAGCAGGUCUAAGAACUUUACAACUAUCAAUUCCUGUAUCAUAAAAUCACAAAGUAAUGUAACCACAUACUUCAAGGUCACAGAGAAACGAGAGCCACCCACACCCCCAAGGAGAUGACAAAACAAUGAAGAUCAGAGCUGGAGUCAAUGAAGUGGGCGCCAAGACACGAACUCGAAGGUCAAAUGAAAGAAGAGCUGUUACCUGAAAAGGAAACAACAUGGCAAAGCCUCACCCACACAAAACCACUGAGAAGAC
Nannospalax galili (Upper Galilee mountains blind mole rat) is the source of this 2644-nucleotide long non-coding RNA. NCBI's taxonomy places the organism in Eukaryota, Metazoa, Chordata, Mammalia, Rodentia, Spalacidae. The record is from Ensembl.